GCAACUUUGGCCGAGUUGGUCUAAGGCGCCAGACUCAAGAGAAUUGCCUCUUUCACUGUUUCAGUGAGUCUUCUGGUCUCGAAAGAGGCGUGGGUUCGAAUCCCACAGGUUGCA
Transfer RNA from Penicillium digitatum PHI26, 114 nucleotides. It matches the Rfam family "tRNA". From Rfam's summary of the family: Transfer RNA (tRNA) molecules are approximately 80 nucleotides in length. Their secondary structure includes four short double-helical elements and three loops (D, anti-codon, and T loops). Further hydrogen bonds mediate the characteristic L-shaped molecular structure. tRNAs have two regions of fundamental functional importance: the anti-codon, which is responsible for specific mRNA codon recognition, and the 3' end, to which the tRNAs corresponding amino acid is attached (by aminoacyl-tRNA synthetases). tRNAs cope with the degeneracy of the genetic code in two manners: having more than one tRNA (with a specific anti-codon) for a particular amino acid; and 'wobble' base-pairing, i.e. permitting non-standard base-pairing at the 3rd anti-codon position. NCBI's taxonomy places the organism in Eukaryota, Fungi, Ascomycota, Eurotiomycetes, Eurotiales, Aspergillaceae. The record is from Rfam.